GGUUGAUAGGCCAGAUGUGGAAGCCCGGUAACGGGUGGAGCUGACUGGUACUAAUAGGCCGAGGGCUUGUCCUCAGUUG
RNAcentral lists this ribosomal RNA (79 nucleotides) under Streptomyces sp. SID4913. RNAcentral's name for it is "partial 23S ribosomal RNA". It matches the Rfam family "Bacterial large subunit ribosomal RNA", at positions 2851 to 2925 of the family's 2925-position model. Lineage: Bacteria; Bacillati; Actinomycetota; Actinomycetes; Kitasatosporales; Streptomycetaceae. The record is from RNAcentral.